UCGUUGCUUCGGUGGGCACGCCCGCCGGAGGUUCAAAACUCUUAUUUUUUUCAGUAUCUCUGAGCCUAAAAGACAAAUAAUCAAAACUUUCAACAACGGAUCUCUUGGUUCUGGCAUCGAUGAAGAACGCAGCGAAAUGCGAUAAGUAAUGUGAAUUGCAGAAUUCAGUGAAUCAUCGAAUCUUUGAACGCACAUUGCGCCCGCCGGUAUUCCGGCGGGCAUGCCUGUUCGAGCGUCAUUUCAACCCUCAAGCCUCGGCUUGGUGUUGGGGCGCCCGGGCCCUCCGCGGCCCGGGGCCCCCAAGUUCAUCGGCGGGCUCGUCGGUACACUGAGCGCAGUAAAACGCGGUAAAACGCGAACCUCGUUCGGAUCGUCCCGGCGUGCUCCAGCCGCUAAACCCCCAAUUCUUUAAAGGUUGACCUCGGAUCAGGUAGGAAUACCCGCUGAACUUAAGCAUAUCAAUAAGUCGGAGGAA
This 475-nucleotide ribosomal RNA is filed under the name Pyricularia grisea. RNAcentral describes it as "eukaryotic LSU rRNA". The stretch from base 85 to 238 matches the Rfam family "5.8S ribosomal RNA". Lineage: Eukaryota; Fungi; Ascomycota; Sordariomycetes; Magnaporthales; Pyriculariaceae. The record is from RNAcentral.